Long non-coding RNA from Carlito syrichta (Philippine tarsier), 809 nucleotides. RefSeq lists it as uncharacterized. The record is from RefSeq and is a predicted model, not a curated record. Lineage: Eukaryota; Metazoa; Chordata; Mammalia; Primates; Tarsiidae. The transcript has 2 exons.
GUAUCUUCGUGUGGAUGAAGUUUGCUUUCAGCCAGCCACACCGCUGGGAUCUGUCCGAACCGAUCCAGCAUCGACCACCGCAGAAGCGGGUAGAAAGCAACAUAUGUACCCCUCGGAGUCACAUUCCGCUCCACGUGUGUCCUUGCUUCUGAUGUCUCCUUAACAGCUCUGAACAUCCUCUCCUGGGGGCAGUGACAGAUGCUUGACCACAAGCCUUGAGGAUAAAAAAGAAGGCUGUUUGGUGAUAGACAGGCGUGGGGUGACGAGAGCCGCUUCCAAACAUAGCAUUGAGAAGAGCCCCGUGGAGUGUUCUUUGCUCUGAACGCCUGUGAAUCCGCUGAACCCGAGACUAUUCUUGAUGCCUCUGAAGGCUUGAGCCAGGCCUAUCCUCCCUUUGAAGGGAAAUGUCUGAUCUCCAAACACUGUCUGCCCUUAAAGCUCUUUUCCUAGCUGUCUUUGCUGUCUACCCCAGCUUAAUUCCUUUUCUUUUUCUAUUUAAAAAAUUCCUUAACAAGCAGGACACCUCCUGUAUACAUUGUGUCUAAGGUCUCCAUGAACUUAGGGACACAGAUUUGGAAAGCAAAACGAAACUGUGAAGAUGUGAUGUGACCAAGGAAGACCGUGGCUACGGAUGGGCCCCUAUCAGAUAUCUCGAGGCACACAAAGAAGAGACUGUUGAGGACACAAUGAGAAGGUGGCAGUCUGCAAACCAAGAAGUGAGCCCUUACCAGGAACCUAUUUGGUGGGUACCUUGAUCAUGGCCCUCCAGCCUCCAAGACUGAGCAAAUAAAUAUCUGCUGUUCAAGUCA